GACGAACGCUGGCGGCGUGCUUAACACAUGCAAGUCGAACGGAAAGGCCCUGCUUGCAGGGUACUCGAGUGGCGAACGGGUGAGUAACACGUGGGUGAUCUGCCCUGCACUUCGGGAUAAGCCUGGGAAACUGGGUCUAAUACCGGAUAGGAGCCAUUUUUAGUGUGAUGGUUGGAAAGUUUUUUCGGUGUAGGAUGAGCUCGCGGCCUAUCAGCUUGUUGGUGGGGUAAUGGCCUACCAAGGCGGCGACGGGUAGCCGGCCUGAGAGGGUGGACGGCCACAUUGGGACUGAGAUACGGCCCAGACUCCUUCGGGAGGCAGCAGUGGGGAAUAUUGCACAAUGGGCGCAAGCCUGAUGCAGCGACGCCGCGUGGGGGAUGACGGCCUUCGGGUUGUAAACUCCUUUCGCUAGGGACGAAGCUUUUUGUGACGGUACCUAGAGAAGAAGCACCGGCUAACUACGUG
Molecule: ribosomal RNA, 465 nt
Filed under: uncultured bacterium
Lineage: Bacteria
Description: partial 16S ribosomal RNA
Rfam family: Bacterial small subunit ribosomal RNA
Source: RNAcentral